Molecule: ribosomal RNA, 295 nt
Filed under: uncultured bacterium
Lineage: Bacteria
Description: partial 16S ribosomal RNA
Rfam family: Bacterial small subunit ribosomal RNA
Source: RNAcentral
GGAUUAGAUACCCUGGUAGUCCACGCCGUAAACGAUGGGUACUAGGUGUCGGCAUGCGAGUGUCGGUGCCGCAGUUAACGCAAUAAGUACCCCGCCUGGGGAGUACGGUCGCAAGACUGAAACUCAAAGGAAUUGACGGGGACCCGCACAAGCAGCGGAGCAUGUGGUUUAAUUCGAAGCAACGCGAAGAACCUUACCAAAUCUUGACAUCUCCUUGACAGCUCCUUAACCGGAGUCUUCGGCCUUUGGUCGACAGGGAUGACAGGUGGUGCAUGGUUGUCGUCAGCUCGUGCUG